RNAcentral lists this ribosomal RNA (468 nucleotides) under uncultured bacterium. RNAcentral's name for it is "partial 16S ribosomal RNA". It matches the Rfam family "Bacterial small subunit ribosomal RNA", at positions 28 to 507 of the family's 1533-position model. The record is from RNAcentral.
GACGAACGCUGGCGGCGUGCUUAACACAUGCAAGUCGAACGGAAAGGCCCUGCUUUUGUGGGGUGCUCGAGUGGCGAACGGGUGAGUAACACGUGAGUAACCUGCCCUUGACUUUGGGAUAACUUCAGGAAACUGGGGCUAAUACCGGAUAGGAGCUCCUGCUGCAUGGUGGGGGUUGGAAAGUUUCGGCGGUUGGGGAUGGACUCGCGGCUUAUCAGCUUGUUGGUGGGGUAGUGGCUUACCAAGGCUUUGACGGGUAGCCGGCCUGAGAGGGUGACCGGCCACAUUGGGACUGAGAUACGGCCCAAACUCCUACGGGAGGCAGCAGUGGGGAAUAUUGCACAAUUGGCGGAAUCCUGAUGCAGCAACGCCGCGUGCGGGAUGACGGCCUUCGGGUUGUAACCCGCUUUCGCCUGUGACGAAGCGUGAGUGACGGUAAUGGGUAAAGAAGCACCGGCUAACUACGUG